AACCAUAGAACGCGCGCCGCGGCAAGCAUGUUCGACGCUCGCGACGCGAAUCCCGGCGAAC
RNAcentral lists this small RNA (61 nucleotides) under Sinorhizobium meliloti 2011. RNAcentral's name for it is "putative ncRNA". Lineage: Bacteria; Pseudomonadati; Pseudomonadota; Alphaproteobacteria; Hyphomicrobiales; Rhizobiaceae. The record is from RNAcentral.